GGGGCUAAGGCCUUGCUACUGUAUUCUAAAAAGGGCUUCGGUCCACUGUGUACUGUUAUCUGAAUAGGGCUUAGGCCCAAUGGGCUCGAGCUGAUUUGGGCUUUGGAUGGGUUUUUGUAUACACUGAGUUUUCCCAACCUCACCCAUUCCUCUUCCAUCCUUGCAGGUGAGCCCUAGUUGGUGGACUUGGAGCUGGGCAGGAUUCAGAGUGGCCAUGAAGAUGGAU
This 226-nucleotide long non-coding RNA is filed under the name Gossypium barbadense (sea-island cotton). RNAcentral's name for it is "long non-coding RNA (GBAR_LNC008260)". Lineage: Eukaryota; Viridiplantae; Streptophyta; Magnoliopsida; Malvales; Malvaceae. The record is from RNAcentral.